This 1059-nucleotide ribosomal RNA is filed under the name Triticum aestivum (bread wheat). RNAcentral describes it as "partial small subunit ribosomal RNA". Lineage: Eukaryota; Viridiplantae; Streptophyta; Magnoliopsida; Poales; Poaceae. The record is from RNAcentral.
AUGGCAGCAAAGGGCCAGAACGCUACCAUGGUAGCGAGACCGGCCCAAGAUGGCUACAUGGCAAGGAGGAUCUCCAGCAGGCCCAAGCGAAUCGUCCAGCCCAACAGAAGAAGGAUCAGGCAAAGGAACGGCGGCUCUCCUCUCUCACCUACUUCCCCCUUUCCUUUCUUCCUUAGCAAGAACACCCAUGUGCGAGCCCAGCAGGAGGUGAAAGAGGAGGAGCCCGCGGCGACGGUGCGGCCGCUGCAGGAGGAGCAGGACCUCGUCGACCACGAGGGAGCUCCACUGUCGGAGUACACGCUUCGUCUGAUCGGCUCUGAUCUUGAGCACUACAUCCGCAAGCUGCUCGACGACGGGGAGAUUAAGUACAACAUGAGGUACAGGGUGCUCAAUUUCAGCAUGGGCAAACCCCGCGUCAAAUUCAACAGCAGCCAGAUCCCAGAUAUAAUCUCAUUCCAUGGAAGGAAUAAUCUUGUAAAGUUUGAAAUCAUCACUCCAUGGCCUGAAUUGGUCCUCAUUCGUAAUAUUCUACAGAGGAAGAGAUGGCCACUGGUCAGCGGGGAUUUCGGCGACUGCCCAAAGAAAAUGGUCAGGAGGACACCUUCACUUCAGCAGACGGGGUUCUCCUCGCAGAUCCAGCUUGCCCUAUGGCGAGCACAGAAGCAACGGAAUAUAAAAAGCAAUCAGACCCUGGAGGUGCCGCCGCUGUUCCCCUGCCCGGUUAGCCGCCAGACGGCGCGCCGUUCCCCCCUGCCCAGAUCCUCCGCCCUUCUGCCCCUCCGCCCCUCUGCUCCGAAAUCGACGCCGACCUCCACCGCCCGCCCGCCCAUCUGCUCCCUCCGGCACCUCCUCCUCCGUGCAGCCCGGCGCGGCCAGAUUGAGGCGGCGGCCGCAAGGGGCCUGGACCUGGCCGGCCCGCUCCGCGACCUCCUCCCGCCGGUGGACUUCUGCUGCGCGUACAGCUCCACCCUCACCCACGCCCGCCCCGACGGCACCUCCAUGGUCGAGUACAUCCUCGGCGUCGCCGACCCCCUCCAGUGGCACUCCGAGGUAGGCUAG